This 415-nucleotide ribosomal RNA is filed under the name uncultured bacterium. RNAcentral describes it as "bacterial SSU rRNA". It matches the Rfam family "Bacterial small subunit ribosomal RNA", at positions 13 to 419 of the family's 1533-position model. The record is from RNAcentral.
UUGAUUCUGGCUCAGAACGAACGCUGGCGGCGUGGAUAAGACAUGCAAGUCGAAACGCUCGUUUCGGGGUAGCAAUAUUCCGGAGCGGGAGUGGCGCAAGGGUGCGUAACACGUGGGUCAUUUGCCGUGAAGCUGGGAACAACUCGUUGAAAGACGAGCUAAUACCCAAUGUGCUCCGCAAGGAGUAAAAGCCGGGGACCGCAAGGCCUGGCACUUUACGAUAAGCCCGCGGCCUAUCAGCUAGUUGGCGGGGUAAAAGCCCACCAAGGCUAAGACGGGUAGCUGGUCUGAGAGGACGACCAGCCACACUGGAACUGAGACACGGUCCAGACACCUACGGGUGGCAGCAGUCGAGAAUUUUUCACAAUGGGCGAAAGCCUGAUGGAGCGACGCCGCGUGGGGGAUGAAGGGCUUC